UACGGAGGGUGCAAGCGUUAUCCGGAUUCACUGGGUUUAAAGGGUGCGUAGGUGGGCAGGUAAGUCAGUGGUGAAAUCUCCGAGCUUAACUCGGAAACUGCCAUUGAUACUAUCUGUCUUGAAUUAUCUGGAGGUGAGCGGAAUAUGUCAUGUAGCGGUGAAAUGCUUAGAUAUGACAUAGAACACCAAUUGCGAAGGCAGCUGGCUACACGAAUAUUGACACUGAUGCACGAAAGCGUGGGGAUCAAACAGG
RNAcentral lists this ribosomal RNA (253 nucleotides) under uncultured bacterium. RNAcentral's name for it is "partial 16S ribosomal RNA". It matches the Rfam family "Bacterial small subunit ribosomal RNA", at positions 524 to 776 of the family's 1533-position model. The record is from RNAcentral.